GACGAACGCUGGCGGCGUGCUUAACACAUGCAAGUCGAACGGAAAGGCCCUGCUUUUGUGGGGUGCUCGAGUGGCGCAGGGGUGAGUAACACGUGAGUAACCUGCCCUUGACUUUGGGAUAACUUCAGGACACUGGGGCUAAUACCGGAUAGGCGCUACUGCUGCUUGGUGGGGGUUGGAAAGUUUCGGCGGGUGGGGAUGGACUCGCGGCUUAUCAGCCUGUUGGUGGGGUAGUGGCGUACCAAGGCUUUGACGGGUAGCCGGCCUGUGAGGGGGACCGGCCACAUUGGGACUGAGAGACGGCCCAGACACCUACGGGAGGCAGCAGUGGGGAAUAUUGCACAAUGGGCGGAAGCCUGAGACAGAAACGCCGCGUGCGGGAUAAGGGCCUUCGGGUUGUAAACCGCUUUCGCCUGAGACGAAGAGUGAGUGACGGUAAUGGGUAAAGAAGCACCGGCUAACUACGUG
This 468-nucleotide ribosomal RNA is filed under the name uncultured bacterium. RNAcentral's name for it is "partial 16S ribosomal RNA". It matches the Rfam family "Bacterial small subunit ribosomal RNA", at positions 28 to 507 of the family's 1533-position model. The record is from RNAcentral.